GACGAACGCUGGCGGCGUGCUUAACACAUGCAAGUCGAACGGAAAGGCCCUGCUUUUGUGGGGUGCUCGAGUGGCGAACGGGUGAGUAACACGUGAGUAACCUGCCCUUGACUUUGGGAUAACUUCAGGAAACUGGGGCUAAUACCGGAUAGGAGCUCCUGCUGCAUGGUGGGGGUUGGAAAGUUUCGGCGGUUGGGGAUGGACUCGCGGCUUAUCAGCUUGUUGGUGGGGUAGUGGCUUACCAAGGCUUUGACGGGUAGCCGGCCUGAGCGGGUGACCGGCCCCAUUGGGACUGGGAUGCGGCCCAGACUACUACGGGAGGCAGCAGUGGGGAAUAUUGCACAAUGGGCGGAAGCCUGAUGCAGCAACGCCGCGUGCGGGAUGACGGCCUUCGGGUUGUAAAGCGCUUUCGCCUGUGACGAGGCGUGAGUGACGGUAAUGGGUAAAGAAGCACCGGCUAACUACGUG
Molecule: ribosomal RNA, 468 nt
Filed under: uncultured bacterium
Lineage: Bacteria
Description: partial 16S ribosomal RNA
Rfam family: Bacterial small subunit ribosomal RNA
Source: RNAcentral